Molecule: ribosomal RNA, 390 nt
Filed under: Lactiplantibacillus plantarum
Lineage: Bacteria; Bacillati; Bacillota; Bacilli; Lactobacillales; Lactobacillaceae
Description: bacterial SSU rRNA
Rfam family: Bacterial small subunit ribosomal RNA
Source: RNAcentral
UAAACGGGAAAAGCCCUUACCAGGUCUUGACAUACUAUGCAAAUUUAAGAGAUUAGACGUUCCCUUCGGGGACAUGGAUACAGGUGGUGCAUGGUUGUCGUCAGCUCGUGUCGUGAGAUGUUGGGUUAAGUCCCGCAACGAGCGCAACCCUUAUUAUCAGUUGCCAGCAUUAAGUUGGGCACUCUGGUGAGACUGCCGGUGACAAACCGGAGGAAGGUGGGGAUGACGUCAAAUCAUCAUGCCCCUUAUGACCUGGGCUACACACGUGCUACAAUGGAUGGUACAACGAGUUGCGAACUCGCGAGAGUAAGCUAAUCUCUUAAAGCCAUUCUCAGUUCGGAUUGUAGGCUGCAACUCGCCUACAUGAAGUCGGAAUCGCUAGUAAUCGCG